AAAACAUCGCCUCCUGCAAUACAAUCAAGUAUAGGAGGUCCAGCCUGCCCAGUGACCACAAGUUCAACGGCCGCGGUAUUUUGACCGUGCAAAGGUAGCGCAAUCACUUGUCUUUUAAAUAGAGACCUGUAUGAAUGGCUAAACGAGGGCUUAACUGUCUCCCCUUUCAAGUCAGUGAAAUUGAUCUACCCGUGCAGAAGCGGGUAUAACAAUACAAGACGAGAAGACCCUUUGGAGCUUAAGGUACAAAACUCAACCACGUCAAGCAACUUAAUAAAAAGCAAAAACCUUGUGAAACAUGAGAUCCUACCUUCGGUUGGGGCGACCACGGAGGAGAAAAAAGCCUCCAAGUGGACUGGGACAAAUUCCUAAAACCAAGAGAGACAUCUCUAAGCCACAGAACAUCUGACCAAAUAUGAUCCGGCCACCAGGACCGAUCAACGAACCAAGUUACCCUAGGGAUAACAGCGCGAUCCCCUCCCAGAGUCCAUAUCGACGAGGGGGUUUACGACCUCGAUGUUGGAUCAGGACAUCCUAAUGGUGCAGCCGCUAUUAAGGGUUCGUUUGUUCAACGAUUAAAGUCCUACGUGA
Molecule: ribosomal RNA, 591 nt
Filed under: Labeobarbus caudovittatus
Lineage: Eukaryota; Metazoa; Chordata; Actinopteri; Cypriniformes; Cyprinidae
Description: partial 16S ribosomal RNA
Rfam family: Bacterial large subunit ribosomal RNA
Source: RNAcentral